Molecule: long non-coding RNA, 1320 nt
Organism: Symphalangus syndactylus (siamang)
Lineage: Eukaryota; Metazoa; Chordata; Mammalia; Primates; Hylobatidae
Source: RefSeq, a predicted model, not a curated record
UAUGCCUCUGACUGCAGUGUCCUUUCUCGUUCUCCAAACUUAUCUAAAUUUAAAUAUUUCAAGGCUAAGACAAAAUGCUCCUCUGCAAAUCCAUUCUAUUCUCCCCUAUGCUGUAUCACCAAUGUGCUUUUGGUAAUUGAACUCAGGUCCAAUUUGAGCUCUGAUUAGUCUAAGCCAAUCAUGUUUAAAUCAUGUCCUAUCUUCUUUUCCAGGCCUGAGCAAAUCAACCCAUGUCAUUCCCCUGGUGAUAUUUUGGAGUUAGGAAUAAGCAUAUGGCCUAAGUCGGCUCCAUAAGACUGAAGAAAAUGAUUUUUGUUCAAUAGCUGGCAGGAGGCAUCGAUUCUCUUCUGUUUGAUAAAAUAAGGACUUGUAUAGUCCUCAUUGUUCUGGCAGGUAGCUGACCACAGACCAUGAGGAAGAACAGCCCUAGGAUGAAACAACGUGAUGGAUGGUAGGCAGGCUGUACAAGUAGCAUGGCACCAGCAUCUGCUUCUGAUGAGGGCUUCAGAGAGCUUCUACUCAUGGUGGAAGGCCAAGGGGGAUGAGGCACUACAUACUGAGAGAAGAAGGAAGAGAAGGAUGGGAAGGAGGUCCACAACUGCAGCUUAGCCAAGCAUCUUCUGCAGCGAAGGAGCAGCUCCUGUCUGAAACAUGCUAGUCUUGUAACAGAGGGAAAAGAUGGUAGACCACAAGAUGUUCCUUAAAACUUAUUCUUAGAAGUGGCACACAACUUCACAGUUUAUUAGCCAAGGAAAGUCAAAUGGCCAAAACUGACUUCAGUAAAGUAGAAGUUUAUUCCUCCCUCAAGUACAGACUGGUGGAGAGUUGCCAGUAAGGAAUGGAAGCAUUUUGUCUGACAAUAAGAAAAUCUAUCACAGUGUUAAAGGCCCAAAUACCACCGAUAUAUCUUAUCAAUUUAUAAGACCAGCUUAAACAUCUCACAAGAGCACCGAAGUAUAUAUUUUAUUAAGAUUUCUUCUGUAUAUCCCACAGACAUCACAGCUCAAGAGUCAAAUCUAAACUCAUCACUUUCUCCCCUGAUCCCAUUCUCAUUUCUCCCCCUUACCGACCCUACUCUAAAUAUGGGUCUCCUUAUAUUUGUAAAUGGUACCAUCAUCCACACUUUCAACCGGAAGUUAACUCCUCCCUCUUCAUAACCAAUCCUUUACAAUAGGUCUUCUCCAGUAUAUUUCCUAUGUGCUUCUUAAAUCUCUCAUUUCCUUUUCAUCCCUUCUGCCAAAGAUUUUGGUAAGGUCCUCAUUAUCUUUCAACUGAUCACUGCAAUACUCUCCAAACUGGAAUCUCUGACUCCAGUCUCAA